UCUAAUAUGGCAGAUUAGUGCAAUAAAUUUAAGCUUUAUAUAUAAAGAAUACUCUUUUAUUAGAA
RNAcentral lists this transfer RNA (65 nucleotides) under Nyssomyia umbratilis. RNAcentral describes it as "tRNA-Leu". The record is from RNAcentral. Lineage: Eukaryota; Metazoa; Arthropoda; Insecta; Diptera; Psychodidae.